GACAGAGGUGCCGAGCGUUAGGCGGAAUCACUGGGCUUAAAGCGUGUGUAGGCGGACUCGUAAGUGCUUUGUGAAAUCCCACGGCUCACCCGUGGAACUGCUUGGCAUACUGCGAGCCUUGAGCCACUUAGGGGCAACCGGAACAAACGGUGGAGCGGUGAAAUGCGCAGAUAUCAGGAGGAACACCGGUGGCGAAGGCGGGUCUCUGGGCCGAUACUGACGCUGAGGAGCGAAAGCGUGGGGAGCGAACAGG
RNAcentral lists this ribosomal RNA (253 nucleotides) under uncultured bacterium. RNAcentral describes it as "partial 16S ribosomal RNA". It matches the Rfam family "Bacterial small subunit ribosomal RNA", at positions 524 to 776 of the family's 1533-position model. The record is from RNAcentral.